AGAGUUUGAUCAUGGCUCAGGAUGAACGCUGGCGGUAUGCUUAACACAUGCAAGUCGAACGGUACCUUCGGGUAUAGUGGCGGACGGGUGAGUAACGCGUGAGAAUCUGUCUUCAGGUCGGGGACAACAGUUAGAAAUGACUGCUAAUACCGGAUGUGCCGAAAGGUAAAAGAUUUAUUGCCUGAAAGAGAGCUCGCGUCAGAUUAGCUAGUAGGUGGUGUAAGAGACUACCUAGGCUCCGAUCUGUAGCUGGUCUGAGAGGACGAUCAGCCACACUGGAACUGAGACACGGUCCAGACUCCUACGGGAGGCAGCAGUGGGGAAUUUUCCGCAAUGGGCGAAAGCCUGACGGAGCAAUACCGCGUGAGGGACGAAGGCUUUUGGGUCGUAAACCUCUUUUCUCAAGGAAGAUGAUGACGGUACUUGAGGAAUAAGCAUCGGCUAACUCUGUGCCAGCAGCCGCGGUAAUACAGAGGAUGCAAGCGUUAUCCGGAAUGAUUGGGCGUAAAGCGUCCGCAGGUGGUUUAAUAAGUCUGCUGUUAAAGCGUGUGGCUCAACCACAUACAGGCAGUGGAAACUAUUCGACUAGAGUAUGUUAGGGGUAGAGGGAAUUCCCAGUGUAGCGGUGAAAUGCGUAGAGAUUGGGAAGAACACCGGUGGCGAAAGCGCUCUGCUAGGACAAUACUGACACUGAGGGACGAAAGCUAGGGGAGCGAAUGGGAUUAGAUACCCCAGUAGUCCUAGCCGUAAACGAUGAUACUAGCGUGCCCGUAUCGACCCGGGCAUUGUCGUAGCUAACGCGUUAAGUAUCCCGGCCUGGGGGAGUACGCACGCAAGUGUGAAACUCAAAGGAAUUGACGG
RNAcentral lists this ribosomal RNA (861 nucleotides) under uncultured bacterium. RNAcentral describes it as "bacterial SSU rRNA". It matches the Rfam family "Bacterial small subunit ribosomal RNA", at positions 8 to 916 of the family's 1533-position model. The record is from RNAcentral.